GCGGUGUCCAAUCGUUACGUGUCCAAACGGGAUACUCCCCCAGUCUGCUGAAAUACUCCCAGAAGCUCCAGCAGCUAUCGAGGACGAGACUUAGGUAUCUCAUCCGGGCCCUUCCCACCGUUAUGUAGGGCUGCAGAAGGCUCCUCACCCGAGGCUCGGCGAACCAGAUAGCUUCGGUUUUGUAAAAGGCCACCCGCUCAACUUCGUGAUUCAGUCGACGACCAGUGCCACCGAUUUGGAGGCCAGCCGGCUGACCCCGUCCCAGUUAUCACCAGAGGCCACCAAAAGUGUGUCAUCUGCGUAACACACGAGCUUGGCCCCCGGGGAUGCAGAACCCAGUUGUAUGCCAGAUUCCACAAUGAAUGGGCCCAAGAACCGACCCUUGCGGAACCCCGCAACUGAUCCCCCUCGAGAUAAAACGGCCGUCCCGCCCGACAUACCGGAUGGACCGGUGACUGAGAUAGUCCCCGACCACCCUCCUCAGGUAAGGAGACACCCCAAACUAAACAAGGCCUUCCGGAUCCGACCUUAGGGCAGGGUGUUGAAAGCGUUGCUGAUAUCCAAUGAUACCGCAAUCGCCACCUUGCCCCGCACACAGUCUCCUCCACGAGAGCCCGCACACGGAGGACACCGUCUGCCGUGGACCGGCCCACCCCAGCCAGAUGCCGCUAGAGGCGGGCAGCCAGCACACGCUCAAAGAACUUGCCCAUCUCGUCCAACAGACAUAUCGGGCGAUAUGCCGAGGGGGAGUCCGCUGGACGCUCCUCCUUAGGAAGGAGCACCAGCCGGCCGACCUUCCAUAUAAAGGGGAACCGUCCCGCCACCAGGCAGCCGUUAAAUAGCCGCCCGGACGUAAUUGUGGUCCGAGCCAGUCUCUGAGUCCAGAACCCUCCAGUCCACGACCGCCCGCGCAAUGGACGGGGACUCCAGCGUGAUAUCCACAAUGGGGACCAUUCACCUAACGCACGUAGGCCUCGAACCCACGUUCAGCACGCGGAGAUCGAGGCCGGCUGCCCAGUCCCCGAGGACCUCGCCCCUCGCGUCGACCACCGGGGAGCCCCACUCCGCUGAUUUGGCGUUGAAGUCUCCAGCGACCAACACCCUUCCCGGGGGGGGGGGGCAGCAGCGACCACCGUCCCAAUACGGGACAGCACGUCGCCGAAGCUCACGAGAUCCUCGCUAGGCAGGACGUAGACGCUGACGACCACAGUCCUCCCUCCAGCGGGCGGCGACAAACUCCCGGCCCCUCUCCACCAGCAAGAAAGGGAGGGGGAACGUCCCACAUCUACCUUGCACGAUCGCCGCCGAGCCUCCCAGGUCCCCCAACCAGUUCGGUCUGGCCGGGGGCACAAAAUAAAUCUCGGAGACGAUCGCCAACUCUAUUAACCGCUCCGCCAUCGCGUGGGCCAAGAGGUCCUGGGCUCUGGCGGAGUGGUUCAAAUUUGCCUGAAGGAGAAGGCGCGGGAAUCCGGGCAUUAUAUCCCAGUCUCUAUUGCCUCCUCCCAGCGACCCUCCUCUCGAACCCGAGGGAUCCUCCGCGGCAGCGGCUUUAUAUAGAGGCUCAGGUCCGCUGGCCAAUGAGAACCCUCGUUUUCAUAAACGGGCGAGAUAUUCCCAUCCGAGGGAUAAAUUGCUUCAUUGCAUAUGUAACUUCAUGUAACAGACGCUGAAAUUAGCAGCGUAUAAGUUUCUGACGAGAUGUGUCAGAAUUAUUAAUUAAUGAACGGACCUGAGGCUUUAGCAUUGCGUACAAACGUACCAUAAGGUGCGGAACGCCAUGGCAGGCAUCUGCGCAUGCGACCCCAUGGCGUGCGAGCGAGAAAGACGUUUUGUGUGAGAGAGACAACCUCUUGAUGCUCGCCGAUUGGCGAAGAGACAAUGCCUAACAACAACGAGCCAAUCGAGAAGCAUCAAGGUGGGGAGUGAAUCUGGAACGAACGGCUUGGCGUCCCCUGACUAAAAAAGUCUGCCUUCGAACUCGAGAAAGGACGGACGUGAGUCUCCCAAGUUUCCGCGUAAUUUAUAUACGUACUUAGUGUGAUAGCAGUAACGGGUGCGUAAUAAUUAAUUUGUUUCGCGAUACCACCCGCGAGUUAUCGCCAAGGCAGUUUUUCCGCAUAAUUAUCGCGACGCGUUAAAUAAUAGUGAAUUUCCGUAAUCACGUUGUGCGAGAGGCGUGACCGGAAACGAAACAUGCAUAUGUGUAACCGUGAAUUUUCAAUUGUGAUGGGCUACGGAUAGCCGCGGUUAAUUCAGGGUUCGGGCGGCGGGCUGGUUGAAUGAAUGACGAAGGCAAGCGGUAUAUGUUUGACAAUAGUAUUUAUUCUAAUAUAUAUCCUAGCUAAUAUAUACAAAGUCCCUACUCUGACAACUUACAACUAAGAUCUCGCUAUGCGAGUCGCGGGUGAUUGGUUAUGGCGACGUGUGUCGCGGAGCGCAUGUGCGCGUUGAUUACUCGGCGCCGGAUUGGCUGCGGCGGGCGUACGGCCCGUGUAUCGGUCGGUGCGUCGAUCGGCGUUAGCGGCCGGUCUUACGGAUUACAAUGCUCGUGGCGGUGUAAUCGCGGCGGUGUAAUGUGUGGCGGCGUUCGUGUCGGUCUCGGUGGUAGCCGGAUUGGCUGCGGCGUUACGGUCGCGGCUGCGCGGUACGAUGCGGCGUUCGCAUUCGCUGAGUCGGUCGGUGCGGCGUCACGAUUGGUCGCGGCGGUGCGCGACUGCGCGGUACGGCGCGGAGCUCGGCUCGACAGCCACGGUGAUCAGCUGUUCGACGAUCAGCUGUUAUUAUCGUCGAGGAUCAUCCCGCGUGGAUGAUCCUCCGCGUCGGCGGUUCCCCCUCAGUACGGGGUCCCCGUGUGCGGUCGGGAUCGGUAGCUCAAUACGCGUACCGAGAUCCGGGUGUCGAGCGGGGCGGUGUUUUGCCACUCACAGCGUGGCGCGAGGAAGCGCUCAAUGCGCACUAGUGAAGGAAGCCGGGUUUGCGGUUAUGUUCGGCACUCAGUGCGUGCUCUGGAUACUCAGCUCAAUUCGCUGAGUGGAUCGGUCGGCUCAGUACGCUAGACCGGGGAGAUCUGAUUUCUUAUCACCAGCGGAGGGCUUUUAUAGCCCCCGCUUGGUGACAAGAGGAGCGGAGAUGUGUGGGGAGACCGAGAUAAGCGGAGGGGACUACACAAGAUAGGAGGGUAACGGCCUCGUAUCUAUAUGCCUUAACGUGGCGGAGGAACGGCUCGUUACAUAUAUAACGCAGUAAGACGCAGCCAACGUAUCUGUGUGCGUGCGUGAGAAAAUGUGUUAAUAAAUAAAGCAGAGUAUGGUGAAAUAGUGAGGCAUAUUAUUUAUUGUGCGAUCCUAACAUCCUUCCCGGACGAGUCCAUCGUUUGGCGGGAAAUUGUGUCAUCCCACGCUAUUCAGACAGGACGACUUUCCGAGGACAGGACGACUAGAGCGAGGUCCCAGAACAGCAAGAAGACAUUCGAGCAAGGGACUUCCCAUUUCUAAGCGAAAUUCACACGAGAUCCCGGUGCGGCCAUCCCGAGGGCAAGGCCGAUUCCACACCUUGGCGGCGAGGUAUAUCACCGACCUGGCGACCGUGUUAACAUCCAACAGGAGACGCCCAGACGGAGUUGCAGCCAACGAUGUCGACCGGGGCAGCAGAGCUGACGGGAGCUGUCACAUCCACUCCAACAACAUCGAAAGAAGAGCGGAGCGCAGUGAGAGUAUCGAGCGUGAGGAUCCAGAGACUGGAUAGCACAAAAUCUCACGCAAGUAACGAUUAGUCUAGAGUCAGUUCGAAAAAACAAUUUUAUUUUUAUCUUUUAUAAUUUAUCGAUUUUAUCUUAUUUUGGAAAGUUUCACUGUCUUUCAUAUUUUAUUUCAAGUUUUCUUUUAAUUUUCUUACGUCGCGUAAAUCCGAAAGAGUUGCGAUAGUUUAUAAAGAAACCCUUAUGUUUUAUUACGUUAAUUUUAAGUUUACCAUUAUAAUGUUAAGCUUAGCGUUAAGAAAAGGCGCGCGUGAAUAAAUUGACAACGCGUAUUAUUUCGUUAUUUUACGAUUAAAUUUCUCAAAGUUAGUUUACAUUACUUUCCAUAUCUUACGUUAAUUAAAAUACGUUAAUAAAAACGCAAAUAGUGCAGGAGCAGUUGACUGAAUAUUAUUUUCUUUCUGUAAUUAUUAUUAUUCUAUUAUUAAAUAUUUUAUUUUUAGUUUCAUACGCAUAUUGCAUGCUGAUUACGAUUUUAUAAAGAGAAAUAUCAAUUAAAUUUAGUUUUAAAACAGUAAGAGCAUUCCUGUAACAAGGAAAAAAAGGUGCACACGGUGGCACCAGAAAAUGCAAUCGCAUUUAAGGCGGUAAGCCUGCGAACAUCUCAUAUUUAACAUCGGUACUUUUAAGUGCUCCAAACGCACUUCUAAGUGCAAAAAAACAGACUAGACAUUGUGUUGAUUGGCCAAAGCACGAGUGGAGGAGAGCAGCAAAGACGAAAACUACCUCCGAGCGCCGUGAGUGGCCGAGACACGAGAGAGAGAGAGAGAGUUGGAGAGACAUCGAGAAGCCGCAGCGCAACCGAAUUGGGCGAAACUUUCCAUAGACUGAGAUACUACGCGCUGAUUGGUCGUAGCGGCCGGAGCGUGCACGACGGCUCGACGCCGUAUAAAACGAGGCGCAGCGGCGUCUCAGGAGCUUUUUUUAGCCCAGAUACGAAUGAGGCAACAUUUCCGCGAUACUUUAACUCGCGUUAUAGGAGAUAUCAAAACAAGAGUUCUGGAUAGGCGACCGCGACAACCUCAGGGUUGGGCUCCCCCCGCGACCAUACUCCCACACAUUUAGGGUGGUUAAAGUGCGGGGGGAGGGACAUUCGGGGCAUACGGUGGACCGCGAUUGCGUAUCUCGGUGAUCCAGUGGUCCACCGGUUACCCCGGAGGCAGGUAACCACCGAGGGGUUUAAUGGGUAUGCCGUCGCGCCUCUGCGGUUGCGCGGCGGUGAGUCCCACAUAACCCUUGCCCCAGGGCGGGGGCAUGCGUAAGACGCAUUCCCCUCGUUAAAAAAAAAGGCGACCGCGACAACAAAAUGCAACACGACGCCGAAUGCAAGUAGGCGUAAUUUCAAAUUAGUUUUUCGAAUAAAUCCGAGUGAAUACAACGCGCUAACCACGAAACGACUGUGAAUAAGCGACACGUUCGGGAAAGUGUAAAUAGUGCUAAGGCAUUACAUAAGACAGCGAAACGUGUGUGAAGAAGCGACGCGGACGGAAGUUUGUUACUUUAAUUACUAUUAAGUUUUGAAUAAACAGUUUAUUUAGUGUUACUGAAAAAACAUAUAAUGAAUUCCAUUUGAUACUUACCUGCGACGUACCUGCAUGCGGUCCGACGACGAGUCCUGACGAAGUCUGAGAAAGAGAAAAUCUUAUUAUUAAAAAUUUGGGAGCGAGAGAUCGAGCGAAACUAACACAUAAAAUACCUGAGCGUAUUCCUGGAAGGACGAGACAAUACUGGCAGUCCGAAGUGGAACGACGGCAGCAGCAGUAGUAUCUGAAACAAAAUAAAAAUAUAACGUAAAAUUAAUUAAAAGCUUUAGUGACCCACUCGAGUGAGUGUAUUAUUAAAUUAAAAUAUUAAAACAAUCCUUACGUGAUCCGACAAGGACACAAAGAGACGCGAUCCGACGGCAAGUGACAGGAAGGAAGGAAGCCAGUCGUGACGCGCAAACCUUGUUUCUUGGAGGAUAAAGGAGCUGGCGACUAGAAGGACAUUACAAGCUUUUAUCGAAAGGUUUAUGAUUUUGUUAAUUUCCGAAACGAUUCCAUUUCCAACGUAGUUAAGAUCGGUCACAACCUCGCGACCGACGCAAGCGUCGCUCGCCGGGUUCGAGUGACCGAUCCAUCGUUCGUUAUAUGAAUGUGCGAGACACGCGAAACGAGAAUAAAAUUAUCGCAGGUACGGAGUUUAGACCGGCGAAGUAAGAAUUACCGCGAUACAACGGUCUAACUAACGCACAUACGGUAAAUACCGAAGGUUACGGACCAAUUAUGAGACCGUGGACAGGGAACCCUUACGCGAAUGGAGAGAUUGUCGAGGAAAAGGGGAACGACGCCGCUGAAUCGAAAGCGAGCAGCGAAGGCAGUCAGUCCCGGACUAGUCUUUGAAACGGACAGGCAUAAAAACGCGACUCAGUAAUUUUUUAGUCAAAAACGGAAAAGGCACUCGGGGCGUUUAUACGCGCAACACCGAGGCUACCGCGACUCGAGAUAAGAACGACGCGACGCGCAGCGACGUGUUAAAACCAUCAUGCGUUCGGAUACGACGUAAAACGCGACGGGCGUUGUGCGCAGUUAACGCGGCGAGAUAAUCAACGAGGUGAUUCGGAAUUAACGAGCGAGACGAGGAACGCACAACCGCGGACGUGGCGAUCUUUGCGCGAAGUCACAAAAGCCUGUAUCGAAUUGACACCGAUCUUUCGAGAUAAACGCGAGAUUGUGAAUUGCGAACCGAGGCGAAGGCGCGUCCAACGCGACGCGGACAUCGAUUAAGCGUAUGAGUGUGCAAAAGUAUGUGUGUGCGAAAGAGAAGAAAGAAGCGGGCAAGUGUAGUGAAGUUGUAAAACGGAAAUAAAAGAAAA
Molecule: long non-coding RNA, 6611 nt
Organism: Monomorium pharaonis (pharaoh ant)
Lineage: Eukaryota; Metazoa; Arthropoda; Insecta; Hymenoptera; Formicidae
Exons: 2
Source: RefSeq, a predicted model, not a curated record